Long non-coding RNA from Aedes aegypti (yellow fever mosquito), 698 nucleotides. RefSeq lists it as uncharacterized. The record is from RefSeq and is a predicted model, not a curated record. NCBI's taxonomy places the organism in Eukaryota, Metazoa, Arthropoda, Insecta, Diptera, Culicidae. The transcript is spliced from 3 exons.
GCGGGCGCUCUUACCCCGUCUUCCCCUACAGAGGAAUACCAGUACGGAAGGCUCGCCGACGACGGCACUAGACAGUAUCAUCUCCAAUUGCGCGGUGACUCACGACCACCGAAUAUUGCGGUAAUCAGCUUCAUCCAUCCUUCUCAUUAGAAGCUAGACCGGCCAUCGGCCAACUGCGAGAGUUGUGCAGGACAGAAAAGCCUCCCACUGGAAGGCUUUUCUUUUCAUCAUUACAGUUUCGAAGCUUUCGGAGUGCAGUCAGAUCGGACGUCUGUGUGCAGUCGGACGCAGGGAGCGGAUCACCCCGUCACGGUAGCGAACCGUUGAUGCGAAAGGGUAAGGGACGCUCAGGAAUCUCCAGACCACUCACCAUCAGUAGGCGCCAAUCUCGCUUCUGUGGCCGAACACAGGGAGCGAAGCGUACAGUUGAAGCGAGGCGCAGACUUCAGUUCGCUGGUGACAGGCACUGCGGCAUACCCGGACAGUUGCGGUGACGAGUCGGUGUGAGGCAAGAGGUGCAGGAUGCAGAGAUUCGGUAGGAAACAAGGGUGCACCCAAGAAGAGUUUCGUGAGUACCACUAGUAUAAGAAAAUGAAUGGAAUGAAGAAGAAAGCAAGUCAGAGUUAGGGAAUAGAAGGCAGAUAAGGGUGAUGAUGACCAGUAUGCUAAAUAAAAUAAUUGCACAAUGAUUUAAGCUA